AAGGGCGCAUGGCGGAUGCCUUGGCUCACGGAGGCGAUGAAGGACGUGUCAAGCUGCGAUAAGCCCCGGGUAGAUGCAAGCAAUCUCUGAUCCGGGGAUUUCCGAAUGGGACAACCCAGCACUCUGAAGGAGUGCUAUCCUGAUUUUUGUUCAG
This 154-nucleotide ribosomal RNA is filed under the name Prevotella nigrescens ATCC 33563. It matches the Rfam family "Bacterial large subunit ribosomal RNA", at positions 13 to 167 of the family's 2925-position model. The record is from RNAcentral. Lineage: Bacteria; Pseudomonadati; Bacteroidota; Bacteroidia; Bacteroidales; Prevotellaceae.